GGGCUUGUGGCUCAGCGGUGGAGCACUUGCCUGGCACGUGUGAGGCCCUGGGUCCAAUUCUCAGCACCACCU
Ictidomys tridecemlineatus (thirteen-lined ground squirrel) is the source of this 72-nucleotide non-coding RNA. The record is from Rfam. Lineage: Eukaryota; Metazoa; Chordata; Mammalia; Rodentia; Sciuridae.